RNAcentral lists this small RNA (95 nucleotides) under Phytobacter massiliensis. RNAcentral's name for it is "ArcZ RNA". It matches the Rfam family "ArcZ RNA", at positions 19 to 105 of the family's 106-position model. From Rfam's summary of the family: This RNA was discovered in E. coli during a large scale screen. SraH expression is highly abundant in stationary phase, but low levels could be detected in exponentially growing cells as well. The record is from RNAcentral. Lineage: Bacteria; Pseudomonadati; Pseudomonadota; Gammaproteobacteria; Enterobacterales; Enterobacteriaceae.
UUCCGGCUGCGCCUUUGAAAAAAUAUGAAAAACUCUUUACGGCGCAGCCACGAUUUCCCUGGUGUUGGCGCAGUAUUCGCGCACCCCGGUUAAUC